This 369-nucleotide ribosomal RNA is filed under the name uncultured organism. RNAcentral describes it as "bacterial SSU rRNA". It matches the Rfam family "Bacterial small subunit ribosomal RNA", at positions 526 to 896 of the family's 1533-position model. The record is from RNAcentral.
CGUAGGGUGCAAGCGUUAAUCGGAAUUACUGGGCGUAAAGCGUGCGCAGGCGGUGAUGUAAGACAGAUGUGAAAUCCCCGGGCUCAACCUGGGAACUGCAUUUGUGACUGCAUUGCUGGAGUGCGGCAGAGGGGAUGGAAUUCCGCGUGUAGCAGUGAAAUGCGUAGAUAUGCGGAGGAACACCGAUGGCGAAGGCGAUCCCCUGGGCCUGCACUGACGCUCAUGCACGAAAGCGUGGGGAGCAAACAGGAUUAGAUACCCUGGUAGUCCACGCCCUAAACGAUGUCAACUGGUUGUUGGUCCUUUGCUGGAUCAGUAACGAAGCUAACGCGUGAAGUUGACCGCCUGGGGAGUACGGCCGCAAGGUUG